Hibiscus syriacus is the source of this 269-nucleotide long non-coding RNA. RefSeq lists it as uncharacterized. NCBI's taxonomy places the organism in Eukaryota, Viridiplantae, Streptophyta, Magnoliopsida, Malvales, Malvaceae. The transcript is spliced from 3 exons. The record is from RefSeq and is a predicted model, not a curated record.
AAAAGCUGCAGAUUUUGAUGAUGAUGAGGGGGUGGCUUGGCUUUGAAUGCUCAAUCAAGAGCAUUGCUUAUGCAGAAACUGGAUCGCUCUGGUAUUGCAACAAGCAUUACGGGAUCCCUUGGAUUAUCCCUCGUUAAUGGGUCUGCUCCAGCUCAACAGACUGUUACAUUACCUAUCAAUGGCCAGGGUGCAUAUCCGACACCAGUUCUACCACCAUCAAGUCUACUAUACCCCUUGAUCUUAUUGGACAGCUCAGUGAGUGUUGGCUG